Molecule: long non-coding RNA, 859 nt
Organism: Manihot esculenta (cassava)
Lineage: Eukaryota; Viridiplantae; Streptophyta; Magnoliopsida; Malpighiales; Euphorbiaceae
Exons: 2
Source: RefSeq, a predicted model, not a curated record
UCGUACUUUCGCUUAGUGCACUAUAAAAGGUGAGAAGAUGACGAUGAGGACGUAAAAGCUGCUUCUUCCCGAAAGAGGUUCUUCUAUUUGUGGCUGAUAGUUCAGAUUCAGGCUGUUGUUUUCAGGCCUAACUCACCCCAAAAGCUAGCUCAAGAGGAGGAGUGCCUGUAGUCCAUAUAAGGGGCACAUUACCCCUUUCCAGAACCGAUGUAGGAAUCAACACACCCCUCACGCUUAGAAUUUUUACUGGUGCGUGGCACAUUUAUAGGGCGCCCAACAUCGGAUGGGAAGGCUCUGAUAUCAUGUUAAAUUUGGGCCAAGCCUAUAUCACCCUAAAAGUUCACCCUAAAAGUUAGCUCAAGAGGGAGGAGUGUCUAUAGCCCAUAUAAGGGGCAUAUUACCCUUUCCACAACCGAUGUGGGAGCGUGACACAUUUAUGGGGUGUCUAGCAUCGGAUGGGGAGGCUUUGAUACCAUGUUAAAUUUGGGUCAGGCCUAACUCACCCCAAAAGGUAGCUCAAGAGGGAGGAGUGUCUAUAGUCCAUAUAAGGGGCACAUUACCCCUUUCCACAACCGAUGUAGGAUUCAUCAUUAUGUAUCGUUGAGAUUUUGAUGUUAUUAUUUUUUCUUUUAUUCCAAUGUGUAGCAAGAGUUUUAGCCUCUAUAUUUCUUUUAUUGUUCUGACCUUCAAAAAUGACAAUCCCAACAAGCGUAGGUUUCCUAUGUGCAAAGAACAUCUCAGUGAUUUGAGAAUGUUGUCACUUCAAAGCUUCUCCUAUGUAUUUCUUAUUUUUGCCAAAUAUUAGUUGGAAUUCUGAUGAUUCAAGUGAUUUGAGAAUGUGGAAAUUCUGGGAGUAUCC